UCAGGUAUAGCUCAAUGGUAGAGUGCAUGCCUAGCAUGCACCAGAUCCUGGGUCCAAUCCCAAGUACCUCUA
RNAcentral lists this transfer RNA (72 nucleotides) under Camelus bactrianus (Bactrian camel). It matches the Rfam family "tRNA". From Rfam's summary of the family: Transfer RNA (tRNA) molecules are approximately 80 nucleotides in length. Their secondary structure includes four short double-helical elements and three loops (D, anti-codon, and T loops). RNAcentral also lists the same sequence under 1 other name. Lineage: Eukaryota; Metazoa; Chordata; Mammalia; Artiodactyla; Camelidae. The record is from Rfam by way of RNAcentral.